Molecule: ribosomal RNA, 516 nt
Filed under: uncultured bacterium
Lineage: Bacteria
Description: bacterial SSU rRNA
Rfam family: Bacterial small subunit ribosomal RNA
Source: RNAcentral
AGAGUUUGAUCAUGGCUCAGGAUGAACGCUAGCGGGAGGCUUAACACAUGCAAGUCGAGGGGCAACAGGAAUAGCAAUAUUUGCUGGCGACCGGCGCACGGGUGAGUAACGCGUAUGCAACCUACCCAUAACAGGGGGAUAGCUUCCGGAAACGGAAAUUAAUACCCCAUAGGAUUUUAAUGCCGCAUGGUAUAAAGAUUAAAACUACGGUGGUUAUGGAUGGGCAUGCGUGCCAUUAGCUAGUUGGCGGGGUAACGGCCCACCAAGGCUACGAUGGCUAGGGGGUCUAAAAGGAUGAUCCCCCACACUGGUACUGAGACACGGACCAGACUCCUACGGGAGGCAGCAGUGAGGAAUAUUGGUCAAUGGGCGGGAGCCUGAACCAGCCAUCCCGCGUGCAGGAAGACGGCCCUAUGGGUUGUAAACUGCUUUUUUAUGGGAAGAAAAAGCCCUACGUGUAGAGCACUGACGGUACCAUAUGAAUAAGCAUCGGCUAACUCCGUGCCAGCAGCCGCG